UGCGCCUGCAAAGAGGAGAGAUCAGAGGACAUUUACAAAAUCACAGUCCUCCCACGGUGGUGGGAAAAGGUUACUGUAGUAUGUCCUAAGGGGUGAACAGCGUGCCCAAGGGAAACAGUAAGGACAGGGCAAGACCCAGGAAAGCAACAAAAAUUUAGAUGUUGUCUAUGUGGCUGCCCCAGUGCCCGCUGCCUCGUUUCUCAGAGCUAAUCAAGGGAAGCGUAACUAGUCCAGGCGGCAGGACGAGUUUACAACAACUGACAUUCAUCUGCUCCUGCCUCCGCUAAGGGCGACUUGGAGACGGACCUCUGAUCUCCCGGUUCCACUUCAGUGAGCGCUCAGCACGGCGGCUGUCAUUUGCAGACACUGAAGAGUGCGCUAAUAGAAUCACAGCCCUCGUUAGCUACUGAAUAAAAGAUCAAUCACAGACUUUGAAAGCUCCUGCUACCAGCUUCCAGAGGAAACAAGAAAAAAAAAAAAGAGCGUGAGCAAGAGAGAAAGAUAUUUAGGAUCAUCGCUGAGAUUCUGAAUGGCCUCGCUGCAAGUUGCUUAAAUUACCUUUUCCACAACUGACUCCAACUGUAAUACUCAGAGGAACUUGUUAAGCCUGCCUUCAAGAGCAGCAUUCUAAUAUAUGACUGCUAGACCCUGGUCAAAAGUUCAUAAUGUGCAUAUGUAAAAAGUUCCUCAUUUGGAAAACGGACAGUGCAAGAGCAGCAGACGAUGACUCAGAAUGCUGGGAGGGGCUGUGUCAAAUACAGGAUGCCCAGGAGAAGCUAGAAUUGGAC
This 788-nucleotide long non-coding RNA is filed under the name Homo sapiens (human). RNAcentral describes it as "HSALNT0233858". The record is from RNAcentral. Lineage: Eukaryota; Metazoa; Chordata; Mammalia; Primates; Hominidae.